UCGUGGACAAAUAAAAAAAACGUAGUUUUCACCGUUUCACUUGAGUUUUUCACAGCUUAAGCCAUUUCCUACGCCAUUUUCGUGCACACGUACUGAGAACGGAACGACGACGGGCCAACCAUCGUAGAAAUAUUCAAAAGGAUGGUUUGGUUGUUUUCCACCCUCUCUCUCCCUCUCUCUCUCUCUGCUCUCUCUCUUCGAGACAAUAUGUACAGGCGGACGCAGGGUAUAACACUAUUGGUGAGGGACAGAACUGCGCUGACGCAUUGAGAGCGGCUCUCACUCUCAGUGUCCCCAGAGAGAGAGAGAGAGAGAGAGAGAGCGCGGAUGUAUGGGAACUGUACAAUGCCGAAGGAGAGAUCAAUGCACGUAUAGGAUUCGUUCAACCUCUAGACAGUCAGAAUGCCAAAGGAUACUUUGUGUCAGUUUAAUAGAAAGAACUUAUCUUUUUUCGCUCACUCUCGGUAGUAUCGUUGUUCGUUGAUAUUUACCUUGUGCUGUAAAUGGAUCG
Long non-coding RNA from Drosophila miranda, 511 nucleotides. RefSeq lists it as uncharacterized. Lineage: Eukaryota; Metazoa; Arthropoda; Insecta; Diptera; Drosophilidae. The record is from RefSeq and is a predicted model, not a curated record. The transcript has 4 exons.